This 449-nucleotide ribosomal RNA is filed under the name uncultured bacterium. RNAcentral's name for it is "partial 16S ribosomal RNA". It matches the Rfam family "Bacterial small subunit ribosomal RNA", at positions 338 to 795 of the family's 1533-position model. The record is from RNAcentral.
CCUACGGGUGGCUGCAGUGGGGAAUAUUGGACAAUGGGCGCAAGCCUGAUCCAGCAAUACCGCGUGUGUGAAGAAGGCCUGAGGGUUGUAAAGCACUUUCACUAGGGAGGAAAACCUGCCGGCCAAUACCCGGCAGCUUGACAUUACCUAUAGAAGAAGCACCGGCUAACUCCGUGCCAGCAGCCGCGGUAAUACGGAGCGUGCAAGCGUUAAUCGGAGUGACUGGACGCAAAGCGUUCGGUGGCGGUUGAAAGCCCCGGGCUUAACCUGGGAACUGCAUUUGAUACUGGGCAACUAGAGUUUAAUAGAGGAGAGUGGAAUUUCAGGUGUAGCGGUGAAAUGCGUAGAGAUCUGAAGGAACACCAGUGGCGAAGGCGACUCUCUGGAUUAAAACUGACGCUGAGGUACGAAAGCGUGGGUAGCAAACAGGAUUAGAUACCCGUGUAGUC